GGGGGGGGCAACAUUGUUGGGCAAUUAUUUAUUCUGGAAGACUUGGACAUGCUUAUGGUGUCUUUCUUAGUAUUCUUGCCAAUAAAGUACAAUGAAACCAACUUCAUUUGAAAGAGAGAAAGACAAUAGAGGAGGGGAAGGAUGAUGUUUGCUAACAGACAUUUGCAACCAGGGAAACUUGUGCAAGAGUAAGAAGGAGUGAAGCCCCCUCUCUUGUGCUUUACACACAGAACACCUAUCCCAGCUGACAUUACAGACUGUGGAAAUGGUUCUUGUUUGUGAUUGGACAGGUCCCAGGUCAGUAGUUUGUUUGCGUAUAACGUCGGCGACGCAACUUUGAGAAAUCACGUGAAGCUUUUAUCGAGUAUUAAAAGGUGUUAACAAUCAAUGGAGAAUGCAAGAAAUUGACCUAAAACGCCGUAAAAGUUGCCUCUAAGCUUCACCUGGAGUUGGUUGGAGUUCGUGUGUGCGACGACCUCUCCAUUGAAACAUUAUCUUCUCAGUCUCUUUGGGCUGCUAUUGUGCUUUUAACAACGUUGUGUCUGUAGACUGGGCUCUUACAGUUGACCUCGGUUAUCAGAGAGGUGAGCCCAUGUCUGAUGCAUCAUGUCAGUGAGAGGAGAGGAUGAAGUCCAGAGAUGAUCAACGAAGACACACAGAUGGUUCAGAGACCUUGCUGAAUCUCCAUGAGUCACCUGAGAACCCAGAGGCAGAGGACAUCACUGAGAUGUUACGCAGUCAACAAGAAAUGUUGCUGAACUGAGCAAGAAGCGUCGUCCUGCUCUAUUGAUCCACCCAUCCACUGUGCAGUUUCCAGCCUCCAGGCCCCCUGGGGAAGCACAAAUCCAAGACAUCAAGUGACGUCUGCUUUGAAAGUGGAUGGGGUGCCUCUGCAAUAAUGGCUCAGCGGCGAAGACGUCAGAAACAUCUUCAAACUUGGAGCCUGCAGGCAGCACAUUCAGAGCCACCUCCCUGAAUCUGAGUGUGGGUACAUUCCUCUCCGGUCCUCCUCCCUGCCGCUCAGCAGAAAACGUGCCAACCAAAUAUCUUCCCACCCAACGCCCCAUGUCUGGACUGCAACCGUCUUCUCACGUAGACCUGGCCACACCGCAGAAUGAGAGGUAUGGAGGAGCAUCACCUGACUGACGCCAAACAGAAUUAGGCACAUUCUUCAGGGUUUGAGGGUUAUAAUACAUCUGCACAUCAUUACAUGGAUGACGAGAGCUGACAGUUACAGGCAGGCUCUGCUGGGGGCUUGUUUGGAUAACCUAAUGAGUUCUCAUUUCCAUGGCCAACAAAUCCGGCUGAUACUACAGAAGCCUCCACUGAUCUGUACGCAUCUGUCACUACUGUGAAUGCAUCUCCUGGAGCAGAACAGGUGAGACACAACUACAGCACAGUGCUACUGAAAUAACAACAGGGAGGCAAGAGGAAGUUACAAACAAGCUUUGGAUUAAGCAACAGCAGGAAAACUAUCUGACUGUACAUUACAGAGGUACUAUGUCAGGUUGAUAAUAUACAAACUAAAAAAGUGUCUAUAAAAAGCAAAAAUGUAAACAACAACAAAAAAAACAUUGCUCACUGUUUUCACAUUUUGGGAAAUAUGCCUAUUUGCUUUUUUGCCAAGAGUUAAAUAAGAAGAUUGAUACACUCUCUUAAAUAAAAGACUACAGCCAACAGCCGGUAAGCUUAGCUUAGUUUAGCAGAAAGACUGGAAACGAGGGGAAACAGCUAGUCUGGGGGGUGCAUUACUCAAAUACAUUUUGACUUCUACCAAGAAACUGCUGAAGUUCAAUACCCAGCCCUAAAACAAACCUCUGACUCUGCUCACCCUUUCUGAUCAGAGCCUGAACAGGAGCAACACAUAACUCUGUCACAUGCAAAUACAGGCCUGAUGGAAGUUUCCACUGCCCCCCCUCUCUCUGUGUGUGUACAUGUGCACAAGUCACGGGCUGUACUUCUUGAGAUGUGCUGCCGCUGGUCUAAUCUCUCUCAAGUGCAGAUGAUGAAGAGCAUGCCUCUGAAUCUUAAAUACCCUGCUGCUCUGGUCCACUCCAAAUACGACAAUAUCACAGUUUCAUAAGAGUUGCAACUUUAUUUUUAGUCAUCUAUCUCUCUCUACUUCAGUAAGAAGGGGCUUUUCACACGCAUGCUGCGUUUACGUUGUCAAGCCACCGGCACGAUCUGAACUCAGGUCAAUGAUGUGAAGAAAGUGUAUUAAAACUACAGAUCAAAAAGGUCUCACUGUCUUAUUCUGGUGUUCUUGUGCGUUCCUGAGCUUUUUUUUUUCCUUCUAAUUAGGAAUAGCCCAGAGGGAGAAUGAAGAAGUUAGACUGUGUUGUCAGAAUGUAUUCCACAGAGGUUACACGUCUGUCAUUAUCAGUACAUCCAUCAAAUAACACCAUCCCUUCAGCUCCCUCAGCUGCAACAAGGGCCCUGCUGUCAUCAGAAAUUCUCAGAGUCCUGUUAUUAUUACCUGUCAUGUCAAGGUCAAAACACUGAGCUGUACCGGCCACACUGUUCACCUCUGACGCUUAUGUAAAACUACCAUCUUUUAUAUGGAUGAACUGCUUGUUCCUGCUUUGCAUUCAGACUUUGUGUUUUUACUCUCACUGUACCAAAACAGUCAAAUCGACCUUCACGGGUAUGACCUCCCCCUGCCAACAGGGAGUAAGAUGUCUUGAGUGAAUAAGUGUGGGGUGCCAACAGGUGGCGAGGUUAAUGACUGUGGCCCAGGAAAGUGCCCAGAUGCCCCACGUCUCUGUGUGUGUUCGGCCUGGUCCACUGCAGUAACCACAGUGUGCCACUGUGAGGGACGGAGAGAGUCCGCGUGUCCUUCGGCCAACCAAACAGAUGGGCUGGGACUGAAGUGAGUGGAUCUGGCACUCAGAGGUUUAACCUGACCUAGUCUGUCUGCUCCCAUCACUUCUCCUCCACACGGGAAUAAUGCCAGACUGAGUUUGACAAAAGAAAAUAAUUACCAAACCUUUUCUGUGAUUUUAAAAUGUCACACUGUCUAACUGAAAGAAAAACACACACACACACACACACACACACACACACACACACACACACAGGGAUGGCGUCACAUUCAUCAAAUGAACGAAACCUGAUCAUGAUAUUCAUCUCUUUUUUGGUUUGUUUGUUUUAUUACACCUUGGACUCCAUCUGCAUCUUCUAGAGGCCCAAUUACCCACAACCAAAGCUGAGUCCUCUUUCUUUAUCUGUCCCCUGUGUCCAACAAGGCCCGUGCCAUGUUUACUAAUGACCACCUAGAAUUCCACUGUAUUGACCAUCGUACGAAUCACAGUCAUUUCAUUUACAUGAGUUUGCACUGUUUUGAGGGACAAGCAAAGGACUCCGUGAUGAGCCACAAGCGUCUCAGUACAGCUGCAAAGUAUAAUGAGCCAAGUCUUGAUGAGUCCUUGUAGAAACUCCAGUUUUAAGACUGGGACAAAGAGCGUCUCUGUGACUGAACAUGCCUCUUCAGUGCUACUUCAGAGGCACAAAUAUUACGUAAUUCAGAUUAAUUACCAGGCAGACACACUCUGUCCCAUCCCAGCUGGCUUUCUGAAGAGGCCCCUGUAACUGUAUGACAGCUCGUCUCUUUUUAAGGCCGUAAUCAAAUUAGUCUGGGUGAUUAUUCAGCCAUUUUAAGCAUCUUUUUCCCUCUUGCUUUUUGUUACUCGCAGCGUGGAGGAAAGACCAAUAAAAACUCCAUUAGGUUUAUGCAAAUGUGAGCAGCCGCGCCGAGGGCUGUGACGUGGCAGAUUGAUUACUCAAGGGACCAGAGACGAAGUGUGUGUGCGUGCACGUGCUUACUUUAACAGUGUAUGUGUGAGAGAAAACGGAGGUGGGAUCGUUGUUGUACACAGAUGCCACAAUAAAAGCCUCAUUCAGCUUGUGUUCCUGGUGGCCCUCACAGUGAGGCAUUAAUAAAACAUUAGUAUUGAGUGACUGGGGCCUCUGCACUCCUCCUCCCUGAUCCCAAGCGUGACCUUUCCAUUUUACAGCAGCUGUCUGGGGAUGCAGAGAGCUCACUGACCCCCCCCCCCCCCAAUCACCCUCCACGCUGCAGUCCCCCCUGACCUCUCCAGGUGUACCCUAUCACACAGAGCUGUGCCCACCUCAUAAGUGCUUCAGUUGAAGCCAUUAAAAAAAAAAGAGAAUGCUGCUUAUGUCUGUGAUUUUCUGGAGCGGAGAGAGGUGAUGAGGAGGGUGGGAUGGAGAGAGAGGGUGGGGGUGGGGGGGCUGAGAAAACAAAAGCUCAAGUGUAGAUAACAGUCAUUUCUGGGGCCGUUAUAGUUUGUUGGUUUAAAGGAGUGAGAGACUGUGCUGAACUUUGUGCAGGGAUCUCUGGUUACAUCCUGUCUGCCUGUAGUCUGGUACCCAACAACAGACCAGAUAGUUAUUCAACGUACUGCCUCCAAAACAUACACCAAAUAUACUGUUUCAAGCUGAGCUGUAAAGACUACACAGGAAAAAGUCUAAAUAACAAAAUCAAAUCGGUUUAGUUCUUAAUGUUUUUAGUUUGACAAUGCCUAAAAAAGCUAUUUACUUCUCCCGUCUAGACCAUAACAAAUACGAAGCAUAAUGCCUUAACAUUCACAAAUACUUUUCCAUCAACAGUGGGUUUUGGUUUGGCCCUGGAGCCUGUGGUUAGUCACAUCUGGUGGAAAUGCACAAGGCUACAUGCUACAGUAGGUGGUGACAAAAAGAGCAGGAAGGCUGGUAAUCCCAUACAGUCCACACACACUGCCAGGACAACUGAAAGGCCUAAGCCACAAGGCAACAUUAACAAAUCUUUACUAAUGGGAAUGCAGGCCACACCUUCAUUCCUCCCAAAUUAGAGUAAGGAUGGUUGGCUUUUUAAAGGACAGGCAAUGCCAGCAAUGUGGCUGCCCCUGUGUGUGUGUGUGUGUGUGUAUGUGUGUGUGUGUGUUUGUGUGUGGGGGAGAGGGAGAGAGAGAGUAGUGAGUAGAAAAUGGGUGGUUUCACAACUGCAUGAAAACUUGCAAUACUACUAGUGAAUACUUGAACAGCUGACUGGCGGUUUUCAGCCCCAUCAUAAACAUGAAAGGAACACACACACACACACACAAAAUUACUUUCCUCUCUGAUCCCAGCUGAAAGUUGACAGCCUCGGGAGCAAAGUAUUUUUAGGCAGGCGUUAGUCUCGGCUGCCAAACGGCGCAAAAUAUAGCAUUGCUUCUCCUGGUCUUACUCGCCCUCUCUGCUCCAUCUCCUCCUCUGUGUCUGUAUACAACGCAUCUAUACACGUCCUGCUCUUGUGUCACUUUGUCGCUCCCUAAAUUUCUGCCACUUCACUCCUCCUCUCGAGCCCCUCCCAUCUCAGGCAAGAGCGAGUCAACCAGCGUCAGGGUAGGACGCCUGCCUAACAAGCUGGAAACCUGAGCUUUCUCCAUGUCUGCUGUAAUUAAACAUAAAGGCACUUGGCAGAGGGACAGUAGCUACUGUAACUGCGUAACUGAGUUCAUAAGGAUGCGGUGCCUUGAUCUUUCAUAGCCAGCCUGUCUGUCUCCAUCGGCCCGGAAAAACCUUGACUACCAAGGAGACAGUGGUCCAUACCAGUGGCCUCAUAAUGCUAAGCCCCCAGCUCCUUCAUAUCCAGCUGUUUACUGUAGACACAAGACACCCAUAAGCCUCCUGCUUCUCACUUGCUUCCGCUUAGCUUUACUUUUAAACUUCUUGGCAGCAUAGAAAGGAGCUUGUCUGGAGUCACUCACACGUUUUCCCUGACAGGAAAAAGCAGCUGAUUCGGAGAAGAAUAAUUAAACCAAACUUUAAAUCACAGAAACUGACCAAUAUACCAAAUAUAUUCUGCUUAUUUGGUCACGCUGAAGGAUUUUUUUUUCUUGGUAACAAAAAAAAAUACCUUUUUAUUUGAUAUUCAGCUGGCAUGGGGGCACUGCAAAAAGAUACAAACCAUAUAAGUUUUCAUACUAUGAUCAUGAAUUUCCUCUGUAUUUACAAUAAUAACAUUUAACUCCUGUCACUAAAGUGUAGGCGUUGCAUAAGUGAACUAUUGCUUUCAAAGUGUGGGCGUUUGUCAACCUCGAUGACAGCUUUAUGCAGCUUUGUGGCAAACGGGCUGCAUUGAACCAGCGAGCAUAUAGCACAAAAUCAUUACAUCAGGACAGAUACUGUAUGUGCUUUGUGAAUGCAGUCGACGUAAUGAAACUGUGCCAUGCUCUUACUUUGAAAUUUCAUUACUCCAGUGGAGAUAAAACCACAAAACCAUCAAUAAAAGAUGCAACAGAGUCUGAGCUUUUUAAAAUGCAAAUCCAGUGACUGGUGUAGCUGUAACUGUUUUCCAUUGAUUGCAUCAGUGCUAAAAUAAGAUCACAGGACUGGUUUUACAUCUUGAAACUUAAAACUAGCUCUAACACCACCGGGCACAUGUAAAAACAACCUACAAACCUUCAAAAUAUCACUGCGUUUCCCUCCUCUCUAUUCAUCACACAGCCCCUCCAUCCCUCCUGCCUCAGCCUGCACGAUGAAAACUGCAAACACCUCAGGGAAAAAUUUAUCAUCUCUUAUCUCACAUGAAGCUGUGAAAACUGCCACCUGUCGUUCCUUCAGGCAGAUUAAGUCGAGUGGUUCGUCACUGAUACGGUAUGUUACAUUUCAGUCAAUCAGAUUUUCAUACCCUUGAGAUGGAUCCUUCCUUUUUUCCCUGCCCCCUUGCUCCCCUCCUGAAUUCCUGUUGAGAUUACUGAUUUGACUUUUCUUUACUUUCAGCUUUGCCGUGUCUUCUAUCACCACAUAUGGUGCUUAAGGAGGUUUUUGUUCACUUUUUUUUAUCCUGUAAAGCACUUUGUAAACGUAAUUUUAGUAAAGUGUGAUAUGAAUAAAGUUGUGUUAUUUGAAUUAAA
Molecule: long non-coding RNA, 6896 nt
Organism: Lates calcarifer (barramundi perch)
Lineage: Eukaryota; Metazoa; Chordata; Actinopteri; Centropomidae
Exons: 5
Source: RefSeq, a predicted model, not a curated record